This is a long non-coding RNA of Zonotrichia leucophrys gambelii, 481 nucleotides long. RefSeq lists it as uncharacterized. The transcript is spliced from 3 exons. The record is from RefSeq and is a predicted model, not a curated record. Lineage: Eukaryota; Metazoa; Chordata; Aves; Passeriformes; Passerellidae.
UGAAAAGUUCUAUUUGAAAAAGCCUAAAAAGAGCCAGCUGUUGAUAUGUUUUGCUCUUAAAACCAGAUGUCUUUUAUUUCCUGCCUCCUUUUGCUGGGAGCUCCCCAAUGAUUGGUUAAUUAAAGAGAAAGACAAGUUAAACCUGGGAGGAAAAGCAUCUUGGAUAUGUGUUCUCCUGAUUUGUGCCCAAGGACAAGGACUGGAACCCACAGUGGAGCAGAGCAAGGCUCCUGCAGGUAGGAAAAGAUUCACAAAACCAGAACAAGAUACCUUGGGCCAGCCAUAAAAAAACUUUGGGACUUAGGAAGAACACUGAUGCCAACUUCACAAUAUGGAUUGUUACUGAAAACUGCUUCUAACACUAGAAAAAACUCACCUGUUUUUGAGAAGCUUUCAGAAGAAUUUGAAGUCAAGAAUAUUGAAGUCAGACUGCAAAGAAUGUGUUGGUGAGUGACACAUCUGAAUGCUGUUUAGAGCUGCC